RNAcentral lists this ribosomal RNA (1157 nucleotides) under Salmonella enterica. Its description in RNAcentral is "partial 23S ribosomal RNA". It matches the Rfam family "Bacterial large subunit ribosomal RNA", at positions 1783 to 2925 of the family's 2925-position model. The record is from RNAcentral. Lineage: Bacteria; Pseudomonadati; Pseudomonadota; Gammaproteobacteria; Enterobacterales; Enterobacteriaceae.
AUACCAGCUGGCUGCAACUGUUUAUUAAAAACACAGCACUGUGCAAACACGAAAGUGGACGUAUACGGUGUGACGCCUGCCCGGUGCCGGAAGGUUAAUUGAUGGGGUCAGCGCAAGCGAAGCUCCUGAUCGAAGCCCCGGUAAACGGCGGCCGUAACUAUAACGGUCCUAAGGUAGCGAAAUUCCUUGUCGGGUAAGUUCCGACCUGCACGAAUGGCGUAAUGAUGGCCAGGCUGUCUCCACCCGAGACUCAGUGAAAUUGAACUCGCUGUGAAGAUGCAGUGUACCCGCGGCAAGACGGAAAGACCCCGUGAACCUUUACUAUAGCUUGACACUGAACAUUGAGCCUUGAUGUGUAGGAUAGGUGGGAGGCUUUGAAGUGUGGACGCCAGUCUGCAUGGAGCCGACCUUGAAAUACCACCCUUUAAUGUUUGAUGUUCUAACGUGGACCCGUUACCCGGGUUGCGGACAGUGUCUGGUGGGUAGUUUGACUGGGGCGGUCUCCUCCUAAAGAGUAACGGAGGAGCACGAAGGUUGGCUAAUCCUGGUCGGACAUCAGGAGGUUAGUGCAAUGGCAUAAGCCAGCUUGACUGCGAGCGUGACGGCGCGAGCAGGUGCGAAAGCAGGUCAUAGUGAUCCGGUGGUUCUGAAUGGAAGGGCCAUCGCUCAACGGAUAAAAGGUACUCCGGGGAUAACAGGCUGAUACCGCCCAAGAGUUCAUAUCGACGGCGGUGUUUGGCACCUCGAUGUCGGCUCAUCACAUCCUGGGGCUGAAGUAGGUCCCAAGGGUAUGGCUGUUCGCCAUUUAAAGUGGUACGCGAGCUGGGUUUAGAACGUCGUGAGACAGUUCGGUCCCUAUCUGCCGUGGGCGCUGGAGAACUGAGGGGGGCUGCUCCUAGUACGAGAGGACCGGAGUGGACGCAUCACUGGUGUUCGGGUUGUCAUGCCAAUGGCACUGCCCGGUAGCUAAAUGCGGAAGAGAUAAGUGCUGAAAGCAUCUAAGCACGAAACUUGCCCCGAGAUGAGUUCUCCCUGAGACUUUAGGUCUCCUGAAGGAACGUUGAAGACGACGACGUUGAUAGGCCGGGUGUGUAAGCGCAGCGAUGCGUUGAGCUAACCGGUACUAAUGAACCGUGAGGCUUAACCUUACAACGCCG